Molecule: ribosomal RNA, 465 nt
Filed under: uncultured bacterium
Lineage: Bacteria
Description: partial 16S ribosomal RNA
Rfam family: Bacterial small subunit ribosomal RNA
Source: RNAcentral
GACGAACGCUGGCGGCGUGCUUAACACAUGCAAGUCGAACGGAAAGGCCCCUUUGGGGGUCCUCGAGUGGCGAACGGGUGCGUAACACGUGAGUAACCUGCCCUUGACUUCGGGAUAACUUCAGGAAACUGGGGCUAAUACCGGAUAGGAAUCCUUGCUGCAUGGUGGGGGUUGGAAAGCUUCGGCGGUUUUGGAUGGACUCGCGGCUUAUCAGCUUGUUGGUGGGGUAGUGGCUUACCAAGGCUUUGACGGGUAGCCGGCCUGAGAGGGCGACCGGCCACAUUGGGACUGAGAGACGGCCCAGACUCCGACGGGAGGCAGCAGUGGGGAAUAUUGAACAAGGGGCGGAAGCCUGAUGCAGCAACGCCGCGGGCGGGAGGACGGCCUUCGGGUUGAAAACCGAUUUCAGCAGGGGCGAAGCUUGUGGUGACGGUACCUGCAGAAGAAGCACCGGCUAACUACGUG